Molecule: long non-coding RNA, 5110 nt
Organism: Megalopta genalis
Lineage: Eukaryota; Metazoa; Arthropoda; Insecta; Hymenoptera; Halictidae
Source: RefSeq, a predicted model, not a curated record
GUUGCGAGCCCAGAACCGUGACGAGAACCUGCGGUCUUUGAGAUUGCGAAUCGGUGCAGAACCCUUCGGCCAGGGAUUGAAGAAGGAUCUCGGCUGGGAGCGCGCGCGAAGGGACUCGGCAUUCUUCGCGAUGCGUGUCGUAACGGAAUCGUAACGGUACCAACGGCUAAAACGAGGAUCCCGGCGGGCAGAGUUGCAAGCGUGAAAAGAAACGCUUCGUCGAUGGAGGCCGACUCCACGCGGCGCCGCUCGAGCAGGCGAGACGGGGCGAAGCGGAGGCGAGGAUGAGGCGAGGAUGAGUCGAUGAGGAGACGAGGGGAGUAAUCGUGUAAAAUAAAAAGGGAGCCAUGGCGUCGGGAAAACGGUAAAAAAGUCGGCUAGUCGGGAGGACGCGGAGAGAAAUAAAAGCGAUAUUUUUAUAUCCACGGGUGUAAGCUCGUCGGUGGCGGACGCCACCGGGCCUCGGCCUCUAUUAAUAUCCACGGGCCGGGCUUCCUUUCGGCCUCCGCAGCAAUUCUCUUUGCACCGGCGAACCAACGAUCGGCCACCGGAAAGAUAGGUUCCGAUCGGGAAAAAAGAAUCGGACAAUGGUCGACUUAACGGCGACCGCCGUGUCGCGCGACUCUUCCGACGAGGAUGAUCCACCGAAUCUUAUUCUACUUUUUUUCCCGUCAUGGCACUGAAAGAUAUUGUCAUGUAACCAGUUAGCUGUUCUUGACGAGCAUACUCGUCGCGAACAAACGGCAAUAUUUUGUGCUGCGACUGUUAUACUCGUCGUGCGCGAAAAUUAGCCGUUCAAAUUGCAAUUCUAGCGAUAACUAAAAUAUAUUAAAUACAAGAUUAUUAUUAUUUAUUAUAUAUUAAUAUUUAUUAUCUAUUAUAAAAUAUAUAAAUUUUUUAAGAUCUUUUGAAUACUCGGAGGCCCAGCUGAAAUAAAAGAAGCAAAUAGAAAGAUAUAAAUAAUUAUUAUGAAUAAAUUGCAUACAGUGUCUGGGUUAGGUCAUUGCUUACUUUUUACGGCGCAUGUUAGGUUUCGCUUUUCACGUUUCUCAAAAACGAUUGCAACAGCUAACUGGUUAAAAUCGUUGAUAAAGUAUAAUUUCAUAGGGAAAGAUUGAACGGCGCUCGCGCUAGUUGUUUUCAGUGCUCGGUAGUUCGAUCGUCGAGCUUGCAACGCAUAGCGUAAUGGUCGGAGAAUGUCGAAACCUUUCUCGACGCUAUCUGUUUUCAUUUUUCUAAUCGGAUGCACUCGAUAGCGCAUCGAUUGCGAGCGUAUCAACUAUCGUUAAUCGACGAUAAUGAUUCAAGCCCGGCGUGGAUCGUAAUCGUCGGUUUUCUAGCGCAACCGCAUUUUGUUCGGGUGGACGAGAGUGCUCGCCUUGCCCGAAUUCCGUUGGUCAGAAGUUUUUCGAGCUCGGAAGCUAGGAGACGAAAGCGUCGAACGUCUUUAUCGCGAGACGGUCGUCGCCGCUCGUGUCCGCGAAUGCACGGCCAGCCGCUGGCCUUGGCUGCAUUUGCAUUUGCGCGCAAAACGAACGAAAAAAGUAUAUCGCGAACGAGUUUCGUUGCCUUCCAGCCGGACAGCUCGAACAAUUGAACUGGUACUGGUAGUAGUCGCGGUGGAAAAACUCGUGGAUCGGCCGGGUCGAGGCGCACGAUGCAGGAUGCACGAUCGCGGGACAGAGAACAGCACGCCGGCCGAGAUCGGGAUCGCCGAGAUCGUGUCCGUCUAAUCGACGGGACGGGAGCGUGGCGAACCCCGUCGAAGCGACUUUUGUUAGCUCGGACGAAACGCAUUCGAGUGCCGUGUGCACCCGGUUUUCCCGCGAUCCCUUCGCCUCUCGAAACUUGUAUCUCCAAACUAUCUAGGCCAAAACACCCACGGCCACCCAAUUUCCGAGCGCGUUCUCAGCGGCUGUCUCAACGCCGACCGGCCGCCUUUUCCUGCUUCGACUUUUAGCAGCCGGGCUCGAUCGUUCGGGGACCAGUCCGGAGACUUUUUCACGUUCUUCGAACGAGACGUAACUGUUAUGCGAGACAUUUAAAUCGAAAUUAAAACAGCGCGAACUUGUGCACCGACCGGUUAGAAAUAAUUCAUACGCAACCGCUGACUCAACAAGAUUGAUUAUCUGUUUCGAAAUAGACCGUGGAUGUUUAUGCGGACUUACGCUUCGGUAUUCGAGCAUCGAAAAUCCAAUGUACAGUAGAUUCGUUUAGCCGUGCCGCGAAGAGCAGAAUUCCGACGAGACAUCCUCGCCAUGAAUCUUCGAGGAGGCUGCAAACGCGCGGAGAUCUAGUCGGGAAACGACGUAAACUUUAUCUACGUUGAUCGUGAACUUUCGCUACUGACCGACAACCGACUGUGCAUCUGCCGCGGAUGCAAUUGUGUCAAGAUUUAAUGGAACCUAUUGUUUGCAGGUCACCGGUAUCUACGUCGCGGAGGAUCCGCGGACCUUGGCGCAUGUUUCCGAGGAAAAUGGAGGAUCUCGUCCAGACCGAUAACCAGUCGAAUCUGUAAACAGACAACGUUGGCCGAGGAAGCAGCAUCGCGGUCGACGCAGGUGGAAUCGGCGAUUGGCAAGGGAAUCGGUGGAAGGUGUUGCCAAUCCGUUGCCAGAGCAUUCCUCGACGACCGUCGUCAACGAACCACCGGCCGAUUGAUACGAGAAUUUAUUGGCUAAAUAGAAUGAUUUCGAAGCGAGCCGCCUAGUCGAGGCGUCUAUCCGCUCCGAGUUAUCUGUCAAAGCGGAAUCGGCUCACCUUCUGGACGACGAGCGGGGUGCCGAAGUCCUUGCCGCCCUGCAGGCGAAAGCCCCACGGGGACCCGUCGAACCUGGACAGCUUCACGCUGAUCAGCUGGGCCAUAAUCACUGAUACGUCGUUUCACCUGGUCGACCAAUCAACAACCGAACCCUCGGCGUAAACUUUUGGACCUCGGUUCAGUCGACGGAAGAAGGAAGGCGGCGCGUGCGGGGAACCGAGCGAUUUGGCGGCGCGGAUACAACUGAAAAGCGGAGACGAGAAAGUCGCGAGGAGGUUGCACCGGUCGGUCACGGUUGACGUCUGGCUUGGCGAGGAGGCGGAAUCGCGCGCAGAUUAGCUAGAACCGAACUGAACCAAACGGAACCAAGCGGCGGCGAGGUAUAGCGACCAGACCAGACGAGGCGAGGCGAGGCAAGGCGAGGCGAGGCACGGCACGUACGUGCUCGAGGAACGCGCGGACCGGAGUAAAGGUACAACGAGACGAGACGACGAGGACGGUCAGUCGGGCAGCGGGGCCUGCCUGCCUUACUGCCUGGCUGCCUUCCUUCCUUCCAUCCGAUUCGACUGUGCCGCGGCAAAGGCCAUGGGGCGGGGAUGGGGAUAACACGCGGCAACGAACGAGACCGCGAUCCGGAAUCCCGUGGCGGAGGGGGCAGGGUGGGUGGAACAACCGCGACCCAGGGACCGGCGGAAACCGGUGGGCACCGAGGGGGACCAGGGGCGAGGAGAGACCAUUCUAAUGGAAAGAGGAAGCAAACUGUCCUCGGCAUCCAUCCGCAUGUUUCUCGUCUGUUGCGUAUCGUCUUAUGAAAAAUCCACCGGCUCGCCGCAAUUUUUCCACCUGCAUUGCACCCUGCUGAACCCAGAAGAAAAGCCCAAGGUGCAGCGACCUUACCUGCUCGUUCCACUGCAGUCCGAUAACGUCCCAUCGGCAAGCGUGUGAUAGUUUUCUAUCGGAGACCGAUGCGUUUUUGACAUUCCCCAAUAUCGUAGAGACGCAGCACCGCGGAUUCAGACCCGUGGAGUUGUUCAGAAUGUUAGAACAGUUCUCCGGUCCCGAUUGUACCCUGUUUACCAAAGAAAGAACCCAUACCCCACUCCAGUUCGAUAACAUGCCAUCCGCAGGAGUGGGAUCGAGAACGAACCAACGUGGUUUCGACGUGCGCCAAUUUCGCGAAGUAUCGUUCGGAUAGGGCUAUCGUAUACGAAAACUGCUGCACCUUACGACAUUCGUGCAGUUUCAGCUGGUAACGCGAAGAAGCACCUUGCUCGGCACCGGAUCCACCUAUGCGAUUCUCGGCGCGAUCGGAAGGACGAUCGAUCGAUUAGCGGGUAGCUCUCGGCUUGCUCGCGUGUCCUUGGCGCGGACGUUCGACUCGCGGCGCGCCAGGCCGCGCUUCUGUGGGAUGCGAGUCCGUUAACACCCCGUCGAGAGCGGAGUUCCGAUCGAUUGUCGUCGGACGUGUACGGGUUCGUGACUCGGGGGGGAUCGUGAACGGUGGACGCAAGGUUCGAGGCGUUGCCUCAGCGAACGCCUUUUCGCGUCUGGAUCGCGGUGCGCCGCGCCGCGCCUGGAUGAACCGAGAUUUUCGUGGUGUCGAGCGGUGUGACUGCAUUUUCUGCGCCGGUGGCGGUCACGAGGGCGCGAACUAGUUCGUGAAUCAUGCCUAGAAUGCUUUACAUAAAUUGCUCGGGGCCGACGUCACGUUCUCGGAGGCUGCGAGAGCGCGAGAGAACCCGGCGCGGACCGACGGCGAAAGAGGGAGAGGAGAGGAAAGAACGUUCUUUGGCCAGCAGGCAGACGUGACUCAGCUUCUCCCGGGUACGCGCGCGGAACACGAGACACGGGACACGGGACCAUGAAACCAUGGUACCGCGCGGGACACCGCGGAGUCUCCGCGUAGUCGCGGUGACUCGGAAACUCUGGAAAGGUGAAAGCACGCUCGCCGCUCGUCCGCGACUCAUCCGCGGCUAGAUUCCUCCUCGGAUAUCCGAUUCCGCGAAACGACGUUACGUUCGGCUGUAUCGUUGCGUCAACAGGAUGAUGCCAGAAAACGUGACCCAGAUAAAAGCGACGUUUCACCCGUGAUUCACAGUUUCGCGGACAUUCGUGACGUUUCUUCAUCGACUCGUCUCGAUCGAACUCGAAUAAUCUUAUUAGGUGCACGUCAAGACAGUCGGCUGGACGGUUCAAUGUUCGAAACGUGUCUAAACGAUCUCCAUUGGCCACGUCCUGGAGCCAAACGUGCAGCGUACGCCGCGUGGUUCGUCCGAACGUGUUCGCCGAAGGUGCGACUGGGAACUUUGCGCCGGUACACAUAAAGAGCAGACCGUAUUACGAAAAUGA